UAUGUAUUGAUGGCUGCAGAUGGUUAAUGAAGAAGAAAAAUCAUGACAUGGUGGAAAUAAUUCACAUAUGAUGAAGACGGUGGUCUAAGGGAAAAUCGUGUGGGACCAAAGGGAACAUUACCUUCUUUUUUUUGUGUAGUUAAAAUUUUUGCACUUUUUUCUUCUUUUGUACUCUUAUAAAAUGCAAUGUAAAAACAACUCUUUUUGUAAUUUUGUUUUAAAAUGUAAAAACUAAAGUCUUGUAUUAUUUAAAACUAAUGUAAUAAAACCCUUCUCCUUAUAUUCUUAAAAUGUAAUGCAUACUAUUUUUUU
Molecule: long non-coding RNA, 312 nt
Filed under: Lathyrus oleraceus (garden pea)
Lineage: Eukaryota; Viridiplantae; Streptophyta; Magnoliopsida; Fabales; Fabaceae
Description: Pisum sativum (pea) long non-coding RNA (PSAT_LNC009798)
Source: RNAcentral